Molecule: RNA transcript, 9875 nt
Organism: Epinephelus moara (kelp grouper)
Lineage: Eukaryota; Metazoa; Chordata; Actinopteri; Perciformes; Serranidae
Gene name: prospero homeobox protein 1-like
Exons: 7
Source: RefSeq, a predicted model, not a curated record
GAUAUUCGGCUCUUAACUGAGCGUUUCACAAAGAGACGUUUAGCUCUCCUCAGAUAUUGGCUUCCCUGGAUAAUCUGAAUUCCAAAGCAAAGCUCGUGAGCUUCUGUGCUGCUUUGCUUGUUUUAUAUAUCAGACUUUGCUUUGCUGCAACCAAUGAGGAAACUCUGCGCGUAAAAUAUCCCUACAUGCCACUUUGAACCCCCCAAUACCCAAGUGACCCACUACUGCAGCCUAAAUGCGUACUUCACUUGCAGGAAAAAAUGCACAUAGUGAUGUUUAAAAUAAAAACACGUUAAUCACUGAUAUUCAGACAUAUUAAUAUAUCAAAUUACAAAGUUGGUAAUCGUUAGAAAUGACUGGGCUUGACGGAAUGUUAAUGCGCUUUAAUGGAGUCAUAAACAUAAUCGAAACAUGCGUAAACACCAGCGUUGAAAAAAAAAAGUGGUUUGAUUGUAAAAUAAAUUGUUAAUUUAGAGUUUUAUUGCUACAAAGAAGGCUGGAAGAAACAUUCCCAAUAAACAGUAUCUGCCUUAAUUCAUUUAUUCAUCUUUAAAAUCAUGCUUUUUGUCCUUAAAUGUGUGGAACAAAUCUCACUGGGUGCCAAAAUAAAUCAAUAUUUCUUAAAGUGAAAUUGUUCUUAUUCUUAUUUUUAUUCAAAAUAUAUUUGAAUCAAAGUAAAACUUUCACAUUUAUUAUAAAGAACUUUUUAAAAUGAGGAUGAAUAAGAUGAUAAAAUGUGGACUAUGUGUUUUAUUGCGGCUUGAGGUGUAAUGUCAAAGUGCGUAACGAUUCUUACUCGCGCAGUCGGUGAUUUGGGAAGAAAGAGAUUAGUAAGAGUGGUAUUUCCUUUUUUCUCCCCCUCUCUCUCUCUCUCUCUUUAGUUGUAUGCUCAAGUCCCAUUCUCUGGUCAAGUUCAGUGCGUUGUUCUCCGGACCGGACGGACGCUUCUUAUUGGUAGGUUGCGACAGUUACAUCACGCCGCUCAUGACGCGCACGUCUUCCUGUUUCCUUCAGCCGCGUCUUAAAGUGAAUCUUAGUGGCGGAGGAGCGCUCCAGCAUCCAGUCCCUCUGCAUCCAGUGCGCCUCGGAGACGCACACACGCAGUCUCUCUCUCUCUCUUUCGCACCCUCUCUUGCACUCUCUCUAUGUCUCUCACUCUUUCAGUCACAGCAGAGGAUAGAGGGAGAGACCGACGCGCAAGAGCUCUUUUCAUCUUCUAUAUUUUUCCUAUUUUGUUCCUUUCGCCGGCGCCGCUGACUUUAUUCCAGCUCUCCUUCCUCCUCUGAGAAACUGUUACAUCCCCAGCAUCCAGCGAUCCGCCGAGCUCUGCGUUGUAUAUUCUGUCUUUUUUGUGUGUUGUUGCCGUAGGAGUUCAGGUUGUCCCCCUCUUCAUCUAAAGGGUACUCAGAGGCUUUGAUCCUAGAGGACUGGGUUUGCGGGAUAUGGCCCAAUAGCAGCAGCCCGUGAUGCCGGACCAUGACAGCGACUCCCUCCUGAACAGACAGACCAAGCGAAGACGUGUGGACAUUGGUGUUAAGAGGACCGUGGGCAGCACAGCCUCCUCCACAGCAGCAGCCACAACAACAACCACUGAUAACAUUGCCCGCGCCAAAGCAGCCAUUUUCAGUGCCAUGAACUCUCUGAGCUCCCACUCUCACCACGGAUCAGACACCGACUCCAUGGAGUGCUCUGUAGUGCAGCCACAUGGUGGGCCUGGCGUUGUGUCAGCCAGCGACAGCGAGUCCAAGUCCAAUGUACUCCGAAAGCUACUGAAGAGGGCCAACUCAUACGAGGACACCAUGAUGCCCUUCCCUGGCACCACAAUUAUCUCCCAGCUUCUCAAGAAUAACAUGGCGAAAAAUGGAGGGGGACCCGAGAGGGGAGAAAGAGGGGACAGGGGUGAUAGAGGGGAUGUCGGCUUCCCCGGAUCAGGGCUUUCCAAUGCAAGUUCAGAUGCUCCCCAGGAAGAUGCCUGCAGUAACUCCUCCCAUGAUAGCACCCCUCAAGAAUGCUUGUCACCCUUUGGUCGCCCUCCCGGCCUGGCCUCGUUUGACAUUGAACGUCUCAAUGAUGAACACCUGCGUGCCAAGCGAGCCCGUGUAGAGAACAUUAUACGUGGUAUGAGCCACUCGCCCAGUGUGGUGGUACCUGCUGCCUCCCGUCAUGAGCGCGACCAUGAGAUGGAUGGAGACCGGGAGAUGGAUCUAGACUGCCCACCCCCUCAGUCUCAGCAGCAGGCCCCCAGCAGCCCACGGGGAGGCGAGGUGUGCAGCAGUAGCAGCCGAGAGAACAAGCGUAAGCAGCGUCUGCCUCAGCAGCAGCAACAGAGCUUCACCCAGCUGGUGUGCCAGAGGAAGGAACAGAAGCAGGAGGAGCGACGGCAACUGAAGCUGCAGCUGGAGGACAUGCAGAAACAGCUACGCCAGCUGCAGGAGAAGUUCUUUCAGAUCUAUGACUCGACCGAUGACUCAGAACACAACGACCUCCACAAUGACCUCCACAACGACAUAGGGAACAUGUCUGAAGACAGCCCGGGCAGGUCUGACACCGGUGGCGAUGACCGGGGUGGAGAUGACUUGCGCUCUGACAAUGAAAUGUCUGACUUGGACCCGGGCCAUUUCCUCGACAGGGCGCGGGCGUUGCUUCAGGAGCAGGCCAUGCUGGCGGACGGAGAGAAGCCAAGAAGAGAGGGGCUCAGCCGGAGCAAAGGACAAGGAGGUCCAGGCUCCUCCAUGCAUGCUGAAGGUAAACAACUGGCAGAAACACUCAAGCAGGAACUCAAUUCAGCCAUGACCCAGGUGGUGGACACAGUGGUUAAGGUGUUUGCCAAGCCUCCACGCCCCACACCCCAGCAGGCCUUCCCCUCGCUCUCCAUACCUCCUGAGAGAUUUCCCACCACCGUCAAUGGAGACAACCCCAACUUCCAUACCGCCAACCAGAGGCUGCAGUGCUUCGGCGAUGUCAUCAUUCCCAAUCCACUAGACUCCUUCGCCAGCAUGCCCGGGAUGCCCGGUCCCACCAACGACCAAACCGAAGCGAUACCCUUAGUUGUGAGGAAGACACCCAGCGAGCACCACCACCACCAGUCCUCAGCUGUGGGAGCCCAUGGCGGGCACCACCACCCCGUCCUCCACCCCUCAUCGCUCUCAGCCUCCAUGGGCUUCAGUCCCCCAUCCUUUAGACACCCUUUUCCACUGCCUCUCAUGGGCUACCCUUUCCAGAGCCCCCUCGGUGGGCCCACAGGUGGCUACCCAGGCAAGGACCGUUCCUCUCCAGACUCUAUGGACCUGUCCCGGGAGACCACCAGCCUGAGGACCAAGAUGGCAUCAGGUCACCACAUGGGGCACCACCAUCGCUCUUGUUCACCAGCGCACACUGGCAGCACAGCCGAGGGACUCUCCCUGUCCCUCAUCAAGUCUGAGUGCAGUGAUCUCCAAGACAUGGCCGACAUCUCUCCCUACUCAGGCAGCAAUAUCCAAGAGGGUCUCUCCCCCAAUCAUCUGAAGAAGGCCAAGCUUAUGUUUUUCUACACCCGCUACCCGAGUUCUAAUAUGCUGAAGAUGUUCUUCUCUGAUGUCAAGUUUAACCGCUGCAUCACCUCCCAGCUGAUCAAGUGGUUCAGCAACUUCAGGGAGUUCUACUACAUCCAGAUGGAGAAGUUCGCCCGCCAGUCCAUCAACGACGGAGUCACCGGAGUCGAGGAGCUGGGCGUCAGCCGCGACAGUGAGCUCUUCCGAGCCCUCAACAUGCACUACAACAAGGCCAAUGACUUCGAGGUCCCUGAACGCUUCCUGGAGGUGGCCGAGAUAACACUGAGAGAGUUCUUCAACGCCAUCGUGGCCGGCAAAGACGUGGACCCGUCCUGGAAGAAGGCCAUCUACAAGGUCAUCUGCAAACUGGACAGCGAGGUCCCCGAGAUCUUCAAGUCCCCCAACUGUCUCCAAGAGCUUCUACACGAAUCUGCUGUACCUUGAGUGACAUCCAUGGCUGUAACAGAUCCCACAAUUGUCUCUGAUAGCCACCCCUUCUGUCAAUCAGGCUGUAGGACAAAGGCUGCUAAACCAAGGCUGAUGACCUCAUGCCUGGGGUCUGCUCCAUACCGAAGGGGUCUUAACACCGUUCAACUUGUCUUUUGUGUCUGGGUGCCGUUUUUCAGACGCUGCUGACUACCGAGAAUCGCCUCGCAGUAUCUCUCGAGGCCCUGGGGUGCACGCACAUACACACAUGCAUCGCACACAUCCCCCUUGAUCCAUGGGCUGGAGCGUUGAGCCAGGAGUGAGCCUUAAGACAAGGAGUGACAACCGGGACAGCUGCAGGGGCUGGAAGCCAGUCUUAGCCCCCACCACCAACCACCACCACCACCUCCCAUACCGCCUCCAGCCAGCCAAACAAGCCAUUGUUUCUGGCCCGGGCCUUUGGUAUUUCAUUUGUCAUGAAAUGGAUACGGACACGGGACGACCAUGAGGCUCUUUCUCUAAAAAAGAAGCUGCUACUGCGACUGCUGCUGUUGUGGCUGCUGGUUGCUGAGCCCAGAUUGCUAACUCCCCUCAUCCUUAACCUUCUCGUGCAGCUUGCCCCAAGCACCCUGCUCUGAACUAUUAAUAAACCUGCUUUUUCCAAGGUAAAGGAGGUAGGGAGGGGGUGGUCCAAAGGGAAAUGUUUUCCGAAGGGGUGUAAGAAGAAAGACAAAGAGAAAGAGGGAGAAUGCCAGACUGUUUUAGUCAGCCUUUGUGAUCUUCAUUUUCUCAGGUUUCUCAGUGGACAUUUGGCAGGUCAGGCCUGUGAGCCAGGUAGGUCGUCAGGGUCCCGCUCAGCUGUUGUCAAUCUCUGCUGAGAAUGAGUUAAGUUCUGCGGGUGUUAUGACAGUAGGUCUAUAUCAGCCGCAAAAUAAUUGGCCAACCUUUACACGUUCGCAAGGCUGCUUGACGCUAAGCUGCUCGCACAUACCGUGUCUCAGGGCAACUUUCAACACGUAGUUAACAGCAAUAUGGAGGAACUGACAACAUACAGCUGCACUCCUCGUGACAUCUCUGAUAACAGUAAAGAUGCUGAGAUGUUCAUCACCCUCGCUGCUCCAUCAUCCUUAAGCACCCAAGUCUAAAAGAGUUCAUGGGAAUAAAAACAAUACCCCUCUAUCUCCGUCAAGGGCAUUCCUUGGCACAACAAUAGGACCAUCUCCUCCCCCCUGUAUUUUCCUUUCCUCCCCUCCCUCCUCAUUCUCCAGCCCCUCCAUCAAAGAGCAUUCCAGCUCCAGAGCCCCCUAAGCCCUUCACUCUGGGCCUGUCCAUGUGACACGCAGACAGUCAUCUUUAAGAAUUGAUUCACUCUGGUAUCCAAAGCCUAUGGAGCCGGGCUGCCAAGAUACCCAGCAUAGGCGCCACUCAUGGGGUCCAGGUACACAACAGCUGCUCCCCAACAAUAAAGGCAAAAAAUGGGAGGCACUCAGGGGGAAGAUGCAGCCCUAACCUCCCUCUCAAGCCUGAACUGGUCACCUUGAGCCAGUUGUUGCCUGCCCGCCUGCCUUCAGAGACGACAAAGGAUUGGGUCCAACUUUGGGAUGAGGGGUGGUGGAAGGGGGUAGGCAGAGGCGCAGGACAAAAGCGGGAAAGAGAAAUGUCUACCUCCUUCCUUGGAGGAAGCGACGGCUGUGCUACCAAGAUGGCACAGAGUGACACAUGCGAGACCAUAAAUAAGACAAUGGCAUGUUGUUUUCUUCUGAGGCACAUUGUGUAGAAGCCUGGAGGUCAAGUGAAGGAGAUGCAUCCCAGAAACCUCACGCACACAUGCACACGGGGGGAAGCGACGCCGGGUAUGUCGUGAUACCACAGAUAGAGAUCACAAAUCACACAGAAGGAGACAGGAGAGAUAUUACCUCACCUGAAGUGUUUCCAUAAACUCCAGUGUACCAAAGCCUUGGGAAGUGGUAUCACUCUUCAAGCAGGUCCUGACCCACACACACCGUGAUUUAUGAUGAUACAAUCCAGCACAUCAUCCAUCAUAAAUAAGGGAGAUUAAAUGAAUAGACUGAGGCUGUGUGUAGUAUUUCCACCCUUAGAAAUUAUACUGUUGAGCCACUGUGUGCUCUAAAAACUUAUUCCAGGAUGGUUUAGGAAAGAGGAGACACACAUCUGUCACCUUUUCCUUAAAGUUAAGGAGUAAUGGAAAAAGAGAAACACAGAGAGGAAGAUGAGGACAGAGGGGAACUUGGCAUCAUCAGUCUUCCUGCUAAAGCGGAAAGGCAGAAGAGGGAAAGCGAGAGCGAUGGAGAGCCGGGGAGAGAGGGGGAAUUUACCAAAGCAGCUCAGGAGGGCCCUCAUUACGAUAUUAAACAAGAUUUAAUAAGUGAGAGUGAUUUGAUGAGGUGAUUAUCCUGGCCCAUUAAUCAAGCAGGCUUCUGGCCUCACUGUAAUAUGGCCCAUCUUUCCCCCCUAUACCAAAGCCUCUUUAGACGCUGAGCUCCUUACUGCACUAACGCCGCUUCAGAAACAACACCAGGCCAAAAAAAAAAAAGGCAUAUUACGUCUCAUCUCUCAAGCCUGCGGGUAUUUUCGAUGCUCACUCAUCCCUCUGCCUCCCCUGUCCGCUCUUCUGGUGCAUCUGGUAAAUUGAACUCCUUAACAUCUGGGUCAGAAAGUAAAGUCUUAUCAGAGGGAGCUAAGAGUGAUAACUGGCAAUGAUAACGAGAAAGCAUCUGUUGGCUUUAAGGCUUUUGGUUCGAGAACAGAAGGAAGUUGCAGGGAUUUCACUGGAUUGUUGGGUUUUUGUAGAGAGGUAGGGGAAGCUCGCGUGUGUGUGUUUGUGUGUGGGUACAUGUGUGUGGACGGGCUGAUUCAUAGAAUGCUUCUUUGGAAAAUGAGGCACAAGUUGCAUCAGGAGAUGUGAGGGCGAGCACAGGCGGCUGUUUGUGCUCAACCAGGUCAAAACAAAAUGAUAUGACCCAGACUGGCAGACCUUACGAACUUAUCCCUAUUUAUCAUUUUCCAUAUUGAUGAAUUUGUUGAUGUUUUUCUUUAAUUUUUAGGUUUAGUUUUUGCUGCACAUACAGUCUAAAUCACAUAAGAUGGUCAACUUACAAUAAUAUACAACAGAAAAGUAGAAAAUCCUCACAUCUGACAAGCUGUAACCAGCAAAUGUUUGACAUGUGUGCUUAAUAAGUAGCUUAAAAAGAUUAUUCCAUUAUCAAAAUAGUCAAUGCUUAAUUUUUCAGUUGACUAAUUGAUUAAUUUCCAAAUCAUUUCCGCCUUAAUACCAUAAUUUCUGUGUAUUGUACAUCUAUUGCUAAAUAAACUACAGUCACGUGCACUACAAACUGAGAUUCAUUAAAAAAAAAUGAUCUUCCUGUUUAUAGGCAAUGAGGUUUGAUCUGUCGGUUGCGCUCUUUUUACACCUUUGUAGAUAUAAUUUCUUGUAACCGUUCUUCAGGUGCAUGUGGGUAGCUUUUACAUGAUAUUUCCAAAUGCCUUCCAGCACGGCUGAAAGAGAUGACACAUGAGCAAACAAACAAAAAAAGGCUUAAACUGAUAACUUGAGGUUUGUUUUGUUUGACUUCCUCCUUAAAGCUCUUUGUCAGAUAUGCUGAAGCUUUCACCAUUUCCACACAGCAGUCCAUGAGACAUAUAAAAUGUGAAAAGCAUUUUAUUAUUUAGUCCCAGGAAGCAGCUACACGUCUGUGUACGAAACAAAUCACAUCACUUUCUGUGCGCUAAAGGAGAUGCAGACCUGCCUGAUUAGAGCUGAAGCAAUUGGUUAAUCAAUUAGUCGAUCAACUGAAAAUUGAUUUGCAAGUGUUUUGACUAUUGAGGAAUCUUUUUUUACAAUCCUUUCUCAUUCCCAAUUUGUCAAAUACCAAUGCUUGGUCAGUGGCCCUUCUGAUUUUGUCGCAAAGAAGUACCACUUUGUAUGAGACACACUGGGCCAUGUCAUUAUCAGACACUCAGAACAACUGACGUAGGAUAAAGAGCCCAUAGAGUCCACAUAGGGAGGAGGUUGGGGUGGGCGGAUGGCUCAAGCACAGGACUUUCACCCAGGAGACUGUUGUGUGUGUCCUGUGUGAAACCAAAAGUUAACAUAAUUUCAACUCAAACCCUGAUCAUUUCCUGAGCCCAACCAAGUACUUUUGUGGCCUUAACCUAACACGUGCUUUUGUUGUAACUGUAAACCUAAAACCUAAGUAAACCUACGUUGGAAGUUAAUUUUGAAAAAAGACUGCUUGUGUGUAACAAGCAGAAACUGACACGCCGUCCCUGAGCAUCCAAAACUGAUGCUAGAGGGUAAACUAGAGUGUUGUCGUUAGACACACAGGACCACCAACUGAGUAUCAGUUGGGUGUGAGAAUGAAUUGUUUUUAAAGCACAAAUGCCAAACAAUCUCUGAAAUUUGAGAAUUUGUUGAUUUUGUUUGUCUUAUAUUACAACCCGGUCUCAUUCCAAAGUAGCUGAAAUCCGGCGCUUAGGCAGUGACUUGCGGCAUCAGACACAGAUGAAAAAAGCCUUCCUGUAACGUCGGCAUGAUACAUGGCCGGUUGCUUGGAUAGUUCACCAGCACCUGGCGGCAUCAACAGACCCCAACCUUCACCGGGAAGAGUGGUGUUCACGUCCCAUAAGAUUAUAAAGCCAAACCAGGUUCUUUAUUUCUAAACCUAACCACGUGCUUUUGUUGUUGAAGGAAAAAUGGACUGUAAACGGAAGUGUAUUUUGAAAGAAGACAGGCAGAACCAGAACAUCAACAACCAACGCACCCAGGGUACCUUGCACGUUGUAUCCAGACGUGGAAAGUCCAUGACCAAAUGUCAAUAUGUGACGAGGCCGGAGUGAGAAAGGCGUCACCCUGUGAUUCUGAAGUUAUUUAUCAUAUUCAUCAAGAUCAUCCCCUCUGACAAAGCAAGACAUCAGCACAGUGGGGAGGCCUAACGAGAACGUGUACUGGAACACGGGGGUUUCUUCCAAAUCAAAUCAGGUUCCUCUGAUGUAAUCAAGACGAGACGCCAAAGACGACGACAUAAUCUCCCAGGGACAUGCCUCCCUUGCUUGCACGUUAUUAAAAAAUGAGGAGGAACAAAUCUUUAGAUUGAAAGACUGGAAAAAUGGAAUUAUAAUAAAUCGGGGGAAACUGGGGCAAGGUUGGAUAAAGCCUUCAGAUACAGAUCACGGACAAAUCUUCACAGUGGUUUGUGCUUGUAUGUGUUUAUGUGUGUGUGUGUGUGUGUGUGUGUGUGUGUGUGUGUGUGAGGGAGGGAGCGCAGGCACAAGUGCGUGUGCGUGUAAUGUGUUCGCAUGGUUGCUUAUGAAAUAUUUCAAUUUACUCAAGAUCAAGUUCCUGACCUGAGCUCUCCCUCUCUCCCUCUGUGUAAAAAGUGCUGGUCGUCCCACAGGAAGUCACUCAGUGUUGUCAGAUAAUCUGUCUGUAUCUAUGGUGACCAGUGGACUGUGAUGCAUCAUGGAAGGGCCUCUCAGUCAUUGGAGGGUGCACUUACAAUUAACACCCACAUGAUGGCACAAUAUGACAAAAGUGGACAGCAGUUAGGAACUUGAAGGCUCUUUGCAUUAAUCUGACCUGCUCUGAUCCCCAUGAUAAACAAAGUACCGCAUAUAAUGCAAAAUGUAAUCAAACCCAGUGUUGUUACAGCUGAAUUUUCAACUUCAUGAGUUUAUUUGGUGAACUGAUGUUCAAAUGCACAGCUGUCACAACAUAAAGAGUGAAAUGGUGCAAUAGAAUAGGCAUCAACUGCAGAGAUGUUCAUGGCCUUCACCACCAGAUGGCCUUAUUGAACUACAGUAAAAAGUACCAACACUAUGGAGAUGAACUCUGGCCUAUUCUGGUUUUGAACUCUGGUUUUGCUUUGAACACAAUCCAAACACUUGGUACAUACAUACGAU